RNAcentral lists this ribosomal RNA (738 nucleotides) under uncultured bacterium. RNAcentral's name for it is "bacterial SSU rRNA". It matches the Rfam family "Bacterial small subunit ribosomal RNA", at positions 68 to 801 of the family's 1533-position model. The record is from RNAcentral.
GGUAGAGAGAAGCUUGCUUCUCUUGAGAGCGGCGGACGGGUGAGUAAUGCCUAGGAAUCUGCCUGGUAGUGGGGGAUAACGUUCGGAAACGGACGCUAAUACCGCAUACGUCCUACGGGAGAAAGCAGGGGACCUUCGGGCCUUGCGCUAUCAGAUGAGCCUAGGUCGGAUUAGCUAGUUGGUGAGGUAAUGGCUCACCAAGGCGACGAUCCGUAACUGGUCUGAGAGGAUGAUCAGUCACACUGGAACUGAGACACGGUCCAGACUCCUACGGGAGGCAGCAGUGGGGAAUAUUGGACAAUGGGCGAAAGCCUGAUCCAGCCAUGCCGCGUGUGUGAAGAAGGUCUUCGGAUUGUAAAGCACUUUAAGUUGGGAGGAAGGGCAGUUACCUAAUACGUGAUUGUUAUGACGUUACCGACAGAAUAAGCACCGGCUAACUCUGUGCCAGCAGCCGCGGUAAUACAGAGGGUGCAAGCGUUAAUCGGAAUUACUGGGCGUAAAGCGCGCGUAGGUGGUUAGUUAAGUUGGAUGUGAAAUCCCCGGGCUCAACCUGGGAACUGCAUUCAAAACUGACUGACUAGAGUAUGGUAGAGGGUGGUGGAAUUUCCUGUGUAGCGGUGAAAUGCGUAGAUAUAGGAAGGAACACCAGUGGCGAAGGCGACCACCUGGACUGAUACUGACACUGAGGUGCGAAAGCGUGGGGAGCAAACAGGAUUAGAUACCCUGGUAGUCCACGCC